Non-coding RNA from Podarcis lilfordi (Lilford's wall lizard), 1109 nucleotides. The record is from the annotation of a GenBank genome assembly. Lineage: Eukaryota; Metazoa; Chordata; Lepidosauria; Squamata; Lacertidae.
GAAAUUCUAGAACAAGAUGGGGAAAAAGUUAAAUUACAGAGCUAUGAGAAAUUAAAGUCCAAAGUGCGAGAUUGGUUGCACUACCUUCAGAUAAACGAGACAUUUAAACAGGACAGGAAAAUAGGUUUCCAGAUGGAGAGGUCAAAAUUGGAAACAGAACUGUUAGAACCCAAUACUAAGAAUCUGUCGAGAAUGUAUAAUCUGCUGUUGAAAUGGAACACACAGGAUGAAACGGUGAAAUCAGCUAUGAUAAAAUGGGCACAAGAUAUCGGUCAUAACAUUAUGUUUGCUGACUGGGAACAGUUGUGGACCACCGGUAUUAAAUUUACGGCAUGUAAUGCCUUAAGAGAAAACAUUAUGAAAAUGAUGUAUAGGUGGUACAUGACCCCAGUCAAGCUUGCAAAAAUUUAUCAUCUGCCCAAUAACAAAUGUUGGAAAUGUAAUGAGACUGAAGGUACUUUUUAUCACCUUUGGUGGACCUGCCCGAGGAUAAAAGCUUUUUGGGAAAUGAUCUAUAAUGAAAUUAAGAAGGUUCUUAAAUGGACCUUCCCUAAAAAACCAGAGGCUUUUCUCUUGGGCAUUGUCGGCCAAUUGGUGAGAAGGAAGGACAGGACGUUUUUUAUGUAUGCGACAACAGCAGCAAGGAUUCUUCUAGCAAAGUAUUGGAAGACACAACAACUACCCACACUGGAAGAAUGGCAGACGAAGGUGAUCGACUAUAUGGGACUGGCCGAAUUGACUGGCAGAAUCCGUGACCAGGGGAAAGAGACAGUGGAAGAAGAUUGGAAGAAAUUUAAAGUUUAUCUUAGAACUUGUUGUAAAAUUCAGGAAUGUUAAAAUGUCAAGGGGUUGGGAAACAGAGAACUGCAGCUGUAAUUAAUAAUAUUAGAAGAACUUAAAAGAAAUUGAAUUGAAUAAUUAGUUGAUUGAGGAGUUGCUGAAGAAAUAUAAAACAAGGAUGCAGAAAAGGGGAGGUAUGGGGAAGUCCGGAAAGUAAGGUUUAUGAAAAAUGGCUAUGAAAUUAUACAUGUUUAUAUGUUUGUAUGUCGGUGUUUUGUGUAUUGUUUGCUUUCUUAUCUUAUGUUUGGAAAAUUAAUAAAAAUUUAUUU